Molecule: long non-coding RNA, 187 nt
Organism: Myotis brandtii (Brandt's bat)
Lineage: Eukaryota; Metazoa; Chordata; Mammalia; Chiroptera; Vespertilionidae
Exons: 3
Source: RefSeq, a predicted model, not a curated record
AGGGUAUCAUCCCCAGAGUGCAGAGGAAGGAACAAGGCUCCGAGGCUGACAAAUUUGUCAUCCGUAGCUAAUGAGUGGUUGCAGGAAUCCACCAGGAGUGGUGAUUCUUCUCAAACAAGUGUGGAUAGGGGUCUGCGGGCUGGGAGGUCAGGAUGUCACCUGUCGCCCAUACCUGAAUGAAACCCGG